AUGUUAUUAAUAUUAUUAUUAUUGUUAAUAUUAUUGUCGUUAUUAUUAUUAUCGUUAUCGUUAUUGUUAUUAUUAUUAUUGUUAAUAUUAUUAUCAUUAUUAUUAUUACUGUUAAUAUUAUUAUCGUUAUUAUUAUUACUGUUAAUAUUAUUAUCGUUAUUAUUAUUANNNNNNNNNNUUAUUAUUAUUACUGUUAAUAUUAUUAUCGUUAUUAUUAUUAUUACUGUUAAUAUUAUUAUCGUUAUUAUUAUUAUUAUUAUUAUUAUUAUUAUUAUUCUUUUUUUUUUUUUUUUUUUUUUUUUCUUUUUUUUUUAUUUCCUUUAUUUAUAUUCGGUCCCUUCGUAUUUGCGUUUGUGUUUGUGUUUUUGUUCGUGUUUUUGUUCGUGUUUUUGUUCGUGUUUUUGUUCGUGUUUGUGUUUAUGUUUGUGUUUGUGUUUGUGUUUGUGUUUGUGUUUGCGUUUUUGUUCGUAUUUGCGUUUGUGUUCAUGUUAGGUCCGUUCGUUUUUCCAUUUUUAUUUAAAAUGACGUUAUUCGUUUGAGGGAUAUUUGCUUGAUUAACCAAAUAUUCAAAACUACUGAUUUCAAUACUACCAUCCUCUUCGUGUUUUUUUGUUAUUGUCUUGUCAUCAUUAGCCAAAAUUACAUUAUUAUUAAAUUGUAUAUUUGAGCAAUUUUUAACUGAACUUAAGUCAUUUAAUUUAUUUUUUAGUUUGUCACAGUAUUCAUUAUUUUUUGAUGAAUUUGUUUCAUUAGCACCCUCUGUUUUACUUUCAGGAUUAUACAUAUUUUAUUAUAAAAUUUAAUGUUUCAUAUUAUAUAUAAAACAUUUAUGUUACUAUUAUUAUCAUUACUAUUAUUAUUACUAUUAUUAUUACUAUUAUUAUUACUAUUAUUAUUAUUAUUGUUAUUGUUAUUACUAUUAUUAUUAUUAUUAUUAUUAUUAUUGUUAUUGUUAUUAUUAUUGUUAUUGUUAUUAUUAUUGUUAUUGUUAUUAUUAUAUUAUAUUAUUAUUAUUAUUAUAUUAUAUUAUAUUAUUUAUUUAUUUAUUUUUAAUAUAUCUAGAAACCAUUAUUACGUUUAAUAAAAAUAUUUUAUCUCUUUUAAAUUUAUACCA
This is a long non-coding RNA of Piliocolobus tephrosceles (Ugandan red Colobus), 1114 nucleotides long. The record is from Ensembl. Lineage: Eukaryota; Metazoa; Chordata; Mammalia; Primates; Cercopithecidae.